AGUGAACGCUGGCGGUAGGCCUAACACAUGCAAGUCGAACGGCAGCACAGUAAGAGCUUGCUCUUACGGGUGGCGAGUGGUGGACGGGUGAGGAAUACAUCGGAAUCUACUUUUUCGUGGGGGAUAACGUAGGGAAACUUACGCUAAUACCGCAUACGACCUACGGGUGAAAGCAGGGGAUCUUCGGACCUUGCGCGAUUGAAUGAGCCGAUGUCGGAUUAGCUAGUUGGCGGGGUAAAGGCCCACCAAGGCGACGAUCCGUAGCUGGUCUGAGAGGAUGAUCAGCCACACUGGAACUGAGACACGGUCCAGACUCCUACGGGAGGCAGCAGUGGGGAAUAUUGGACAAUGGGCGCAAGCCUGAUCCAGCCAUACCGCGUGGGUGAAGAAGGCGUUCGGGUUGUAAAGCCCUUUUGUUGGGAAAGAAAAGCAGCAGGUUAAUACCCCGCUGUUCUGACGGUACCCAAAGAAUAAGCACCGGCUAACUUCGUG
Molecule: ribosomal RNA, 492 nt
Filed under: uncultured bacterium
Lineage: Bacteria
Description: partial 16S ribosomal RNA
Rfam family: Bacterial small subunit ribosomal RNA
Source: RNAcentral